RNAcentral lists this ribosomal RNA (441 nucleotides) under uncultured bacterium. RNAcentral's name for it is "partial 16S ribosomal RNA". It matches the Rfam family "Bacterial small subunit ribosomal RNA", at positions 338 to 795 of the family's 1533-position model. The record is from RNAcentral.
ACUACGGGUGGCAGCAGUGGGGAAUAUUGGGCAAUGGGCGCAAGCCUGACCCAGCACCGCCGCGUGCAGUAUGAAGGUUUUCGGAUUGUACACUUCUGUCGCUAGGGACGAAGAAUUACGGUACCUCGUACGAAAGCCCCUGCUAACUACGUGCCAGCAGCCGCGUUACUCCGUAGGGGGCAGGCGUUAUCCGGAUUUACUGGGGGUAAAGGGAGCGUAUACGGCGCGGCAAGUCUGCAGUGAAAGGCAGGGGCUUAACCCCUGAACUGCUUUGGAAACUGCCAUGCUAGAGUGCUGCAGAGGUAAGUGGAAUUCCGAGUGUAGCGGUGAAAUGCGUAGAUAUUAGGAGGAACACCAGUGGCGAAGGCGGCUUACUGGACAGUAACUGACGUUGAGGCUCGAAAGCGUGGGGAGCAAACAGGAUUAGAUACCCCUGUAGUC